Molecule: long non-coding RNA, 3942 nt
Filed under: Sus scrofa (pig)
Lineage: Eukaryota; Metazoa; Chordata; Mammalia; Artiodactyla; Suidae
Description: lncRNA (ENSSSCG00005012724.1)
Rfam family: tRNA (bases 2556-2627)
Source: RNAcentral
GGGAGCCAGGCCUGGUUGGCCUUUGAAGGGCAGGCCUUCCUGGGGUGGACACUUUAAUCGCCCCCAAUUAAACCAUUGCCGGAAGCUUUUAACAGCCCCAUACGGCCUUUCAAGGACUGUCCUUUUGUUAGACAGCCAAGCUGUUAUGCAAAAAGAGAGCGGGCUGGGGGCCUCUGACCACUCACCCCAGGCCCCAAGGCCAGCCUGCCCCAAACUCCGGGCCAGCCUCUAAAGAGUCUGCUUGUUUGCGAAUCAAAGGCUGGGGAACCAGCUUUGAUCUGGGGAAACCCAGCCCUUCCCCGCCUUUCCAGCCUCAGUCCCCUCUCUGAGGGGGGUGGGGUGGGGGGAGCCUUUGACUAGGCCUUCACCCCCAUACAUUCUGGGUCUGGGGCCAACCAGGCUGAUCCCUGGGGUCCUGGGAGCCUGUCCCUUCCUUCAAGAAACGGGUCUGCUGGGACAGUAAGAACUUUCCGUGCUCCCCCUGCCCCCCCCUCAGGCAAGGAAGCCCUGGCCCGCCUCCUAUAGCUGCCCAGCGGUCUUCUAGGCCUUUUGACAGAGUGGAGGAGUCCUCAGAGGGGUGCCGCCUGGGACUCUGUGCGAAAUGCAGAUUCUCAGGCCCCAACCCUGACCCGGGAGGCGAAGUCUGAAAACUACUGCUGUAGCACUUCGAGUAUUUCUCCUCCUCUCGGCCUCUCCUCUCCCACUUCCCCUCAACAAAAAAAGGCAAGAUUAGUGUACAAGUAACAUUAGCCAUAAUAAGUUAUGGACAACAUAACUCUCUGCUUGCUAAACCCUCUAUAGCAUAUCAUUUCUAAAAAGUGAACAACAAAGCCCUUUCUGUAAAUAGCAGCUUCUGGACGACCCUGAAUGGCAGGCUUCCAUUUGGUCGUUUGGUUAACAUCAAAACCUGCCCGCCCCCUCCCUGCGGGAGCUCCCGCCCGUCGUGGCUCAGCGGAGAGAAUCCGACUGGGAACCAUGAGGUUGCAGGUUCGAUCCCUGGCCUCACUCAGUGGGUUAAGGAUCCAGUGUUGCCGUGAGCUGUGUUGUAGGUCGUAGGCAUGGCUUGGAUCCUGCAUUGCUGUGCUGUGGUGUAGGCUGGCAGCUGUAGCUCCGAUUUGACUCCCUCGCCUGGGAAACUCCAUAUGCCACGGGUGUGGCCCUAAAAAGGCAAAAAGCACAAAAAACCCCUUCCCCCCUGAUUUCCACAUCUGCUCCCUCAUUUCAUCCUCAGAACUGCCAGAGGGAGACAAGCAUCCCCAUUAUACAGACGAGGAAACUGAAGUGCAGGAAGGUUUGUGGACUGGCCUGCGAUGGCUGCAGAGUUAGAGGGGGAAACUCAGGAAACCCCACUCAGCGUCUCCCUCCCUCCUCUCAGGUCCAGCGGGGCUGCCACCUGCAGCUGUGAAGCUGUGAGGUGCAUGCACUGCGCAAAAGCACCCGACCCUGGGGGUGGGAGUUGGGGCUAAGAGUUCCCACUCCACUCCCCAAGGGUGUCCUGGUGGGCGCUGGAGGAAGGGGAGCCUUUUUCUGUCACACAAAAGCCCCAUUCAGGCAAGCAAAAGCCUGGAGCUUCCAGAAUUCCCCAUUUUCCCUCCACCUCCUCUUCCUCCUCCUCCUCACAAAAGCUGCAGGUCAUCAAGCACCUACUACGUGCCAGCCUUCAUUCAGGCUCAGCGCUUUCUUUCUAGAUCCCACUUAGUCGCCAGGACAGCUCUCAGUCUUAUUCUUCUGGAUAAGACCCAAUUCUUCUGCUUCUUUCCUUGAAGCUGGUUCCUUGAAAACCAAACAAGAGGCAGAGCGCACUCCAGAUGAGUCAGAGCCUGUCUGGACAAAGGUCUCCCACUGCCCCCCCUGGGUGAACAGCCUGGCUCAGCCUGGGGGACGCCAGGAGGGGUUGGUUUAGAAUUUUUUCGUCCUUCUCAGGUGUUGAAACUUCAGUCCCAUCUGGGGCAAAUCUUUUUUUUUUUUUUUUUUUGUCUUUUGUCUUUUUAAGGCUGCACCAGUGACAUAUGGAGGUUCCCAGGCUAGGGGUCCAAUCGGAGCUGCAGCUGCCAGCCUAUGCCACAGCCACAGCAAUGCAGGAUCUGAGCUGCGCCUGUGACCUACAACCACAGCUCACCGCAACGCUGGAUCCUUAACCCACUGAACAAGGCCAGGGAUCGAACCCACAACCUCACGGUUCCUAGUCGGGGUCGUUUCCGCUGUGCCACGACGGGAACUUCUGGUGCACAUCUUUAGUACCUGGAAGUCCAAAGGGGGCUAAAAUCUAUUUUGUUUUCCCUCUGAGAUCCUACAGUGGGCUCAGCACCCAGAGAAAGACAGCAGCCUGUCAAGGCAGGCAGGGUGUUCAGAACUCCGUGGAGCUGUGGCUCAUCAAUGGUGCCUUUCGGAGCAGGGGUCGGCAAAGGUCUUCUGUGAAGGGCCAAAUGGGAACCCUUGUAGGCUGGUCCCUGUCACUACGACUCAGCUCUGCCACUGUAGUUCACGAAAAAGCCAUCAAAGAGAUCUAAAUGAAUGGGUGUUGGUGUGCGCCAAGAAAACUUUAUUAAGGGAGUUCCCUGGUGGUCUAGUGGUUAGGACUCAGUGCUUUUACCGCUGCAGCCUGGGUUCAAUCCCUGGUCUGGGAACUGAGAUCCCACAUCAAGCUGCUGCAUGCCAUGAUGAAAACAACCACCACACCACCAUGUCCAAUAAAACGUUAUUAAUGGACACUGAAAUGUUAGUUUCCUGUGAUUUUCACAUGUGCCAAAAUCUUAUGUUUCUUUUGAUCCCCCCCCGCCCCCGGUCAUGUGAAAACCAUUUUUAGCUCUCAAGCUGUAGAAAAACAGAUAGUGGGCAGAAUUUGGCCUUCAGGCCCAUAUAGUUUGCUGGCUCCUGGUUUAGAGCAAAGGUUUUGAGGUCGGUUGUCAGUCUUGAAUUUAAGUCUCGGUUAUUUCACUAACCAGCUAGGUAAUCUGGGGGACGUUACGGAACCUCGCUGAGCCUGUGUCUUCCCUUUCAAUGGGGUUGCCUCGUCUGUCUUUCAGGGAGUGGGCAUGUGGGAGCACUUACCAGCCUCGGUGACUGACAGGAGGCAGGAACGCCCUAAAUGUGAGCCUAGAGCUUUGCAGCAGGCUGGUUGGAGGUCAGUGCGAGCAGGCUAUGAGGCUGGAGAGGUCAGGAGACCCUUCCGGGAGGGAGGAAGUCUGGGGUAAGUUGGGCCUUGAGUGCCUUGAGAGGUGCAGCGAUAGAGGAGGGGAAAGAUGGAGAGGUCAAGCCAAAGAAAUUCUCCUUAACGUCAUUAAAAAGUCUACAAACAAAUGCUGGAGAGGGUGGGGAGAAAAGGCAAUCCUUCUACACUGCUGGCAGGAAUGUAAAUUGGUGUGGCCACUAUAGAGAACAGGACGGAGGGUUCCUUAAAACACUAAAAAUAACAUUGCCAUAGGAUCUAGCAAUCCCACUCCUGGACAUAUAUCCAGAAAAUGCUAAUUUGAAAUGAUACAUGCAUCUCAAUGUUCACUGCAGCACUAUUUACAAUAGCCAAGACAUGGAAGCAACCUCCAUGUCCACCAACAGGGGACUGGACAGAGAAGAUGUAAUAUAUCUGUAUAUAUCACAUAAUAUAUUUGCAGCAACAUGAGUGGACCUAGACAUUAUCAUACUAAGUGGAGUAAGUCAGAAAGAGAAAGACAAAUACUAUUGAUAUCACUUAUUUGUAGGAUCUAAAAUAUGACACAAAUGAACCUGUUUACCAAACGGAAACAAAUUCACAGACAGGAAACAAACUUACAGUAACCAAAGGGGAAAGGGGAUGAGGGAGGGAGAUAUUAGGAGUUUGAGAUAAUAUAUAACUUGGAUACACAACAGAGUCCUACUGUAUAGCACAGGGAACUAUACUCAAUAUCCUGUAAUAAACCGUAGCGGAAAAUAAUAUGAAAAAGAAUAUAUGCAAAAAAUAAAAAA